UGUGGAAUUGCAAGCAGAAGCUUCGGCAGCAGGGGCUCCAGGAAGGACGUGGAAGCACUGUUGAACAGGGCAGCGCAUCCCACAUAAGCUGGAGCUGAGGCUGACAUUUAUUAGUUUAAAUGGGGAGCUCACACUUGUGCAUCUUUGCCUCUGCUUUCAUGCUUUCACAUUCUCAAUGAGAUGAAGAGCAGAAGACAUCUGCGGUAGCUGAAUAUAGACAAAAAUUGCUCAGCUAUGGACCCAGGAGAAACGCUGGAAUGUGACACGAUGUGAUUUUGCAGUAUGAAGCUAG
This is a long non-coding RNA of Anas platyrhynchos (mallard), 292 nucleotides long. RefSeq lists it as uncharacterized. The record is from RefSeq and is a predicted model, not a curated record. NCBI's taxonomy places the organism in Eukaryota, Metazoa, Chordata, Aves, Anseriformes, Anatidae.